GGGUUGUGAGGUUAAGCGACUAAGCGUACACGGUGGAUGCCCUGGCAGUCAGAGGCGAUGAAGGACGUGCUAAUCUGCGAUAAGCGUCGGUAAGGUGAUAUGAACCGUUAUAACCGGCGAUUUCCGAAUGGGGAAACCCAGUGUGUUUCGUCACACUAUCAUUAACUGAAUCCAUAGGUUAAUGAGGCGAACCGGGGGAACUGAAACAUCUAAGUACCCCGAGGAAAAGAAAUCAACCGAGAUUCCCCCAGUAGCGGCGAGCGAACGGGGAGCAGCCCAGAGCCUGAAUCAGUGUGUGUGUUAGUGGAAGCGUCUGGAAAGGCGCGCGAUACAGGGUGACAGCCCCGUACACAAAAAUGCACAUGCUGUGAGCUCGAUGAGUAGGGCGGGACACGUGGUAUCCUGUCUGAAUAUGGGGGGACCAUCCUCCAAGGCUAAAUACUCCUGACUGACCGAUAGUGAACCAGUACCGUGAGGGAAAGGCGAAAAGAACCCCGGCGAGGGGAGUGAAAAAGAACCUGAAACCGUGUACGUACAAGCAGUGGGAGCACGCUUAGGCGUGUGACUGCGUACCUUUUGUAUAAUGGGUCAGCGACUUAUAUUCUGUAGCAAGGUUAACCGAAUAGGGGAGCCGAAGGGAAACCGAGUCUUAACUGGGCGUUAAGUUGCAGGGUAUAGACCCGAAACCCGGUGAUCUAGCCAUGGGCAGGUUGAAGGUUGGGUAACACUAACUGGAGGACCGAACCGACUAAUGUUGAAAAAUUAGCGGAUGACUUGUGGCUGGGGGUGAAAGGCCAAUCAAACCGGGAGAUAGCUGGUUCUCCCCGAAAGCUAUUUAGGUAGCGCCUCGUGAAUUCAUCUCCGGGGGUAGAGCACUGUUUCGGCAAGGGGGUCAUCCCGACUUACCAACCCGAUGCAAACUGCGAAUACCGGAGAAUGUUAUCACGGGAGACACACGGCGGGUGCUAACGUCCGUCGUGAAGAGGGAAACAACCCAGACCGCCAGCUAAGGUCCCAAAGUCAUGGUUAAGUGGGAAACGAUGUGGGAAGGCCCAGACAGCCAGGAUGUUGGCUUAGAAGCAGCCAUCAUUUAAAGAAAGCGUAAUAGCUCACUGGUCGAGUCGGCCUGCGCGGAAGAUGUAACGGGGCUAAACCAUGCACCGAAGCUGCGGCAGCGACGCUUAUGCGUUGUUGGGUAGGGGAGCGUUCUGUAAGCCUGUGAAGGUGUGCUGUGAGGCAUGCUGGAGGUAUCAGAAGUGCGAAUGCUGACAUAAGUAACGAUAAAGCGGGUGAAAAGCCCGCUCGCCGGAAGACCAAGGGUUCCUGUCCAACGUUAAUCGGGGCAGGGUGAGUCGACCCCUAAGGCGAGGCCGAAAGGCGUAGUCGAUGGGAAACAGGUUAAUAUUCCUGUACUUGGUGUUACUGCGAAGGGGGGACGGAGAAGGCUAUGUUGGCCGGGCGACGGUUGUCCCGGUUUAAGCGUGUAGGCUGGUUUUCCAGGCAAAUCCGGAAAAUCAAGGCUGAGGCGUGAUGACGAGGCACUACGGUGCUGAAGCAACAAAUGCCCUGCUUCCAGGAAAAGCCUCUAAGCAUCAGGUAACAUCAAAUCGUACCCCAAACCGACACAGGUGGUCAGGUAGAGAAUACCAAGGCGCUUGAGAGAACUCGGGUGAAGGAACUAGGCAAAAUGGUGCCGUAACUUCGGGAGAAGGCACGCUGAUACGUAGGUGAAGUCCCUCGCGGAUGGAGCUGAAAUCAGUCGAAGAUACCAGCUGGCUGCAACUGUUUAUUAAAAACACAGCACUGUGCAAACACGAAAGUGGACGUAUACGGUGUGACGCCUGCCCGGUGCCGGAAGGUUAAUUGAUGGGGUUAGCGGUAACGCGAAGCUCUUGAUCGAAGCCCCGGUAAACGGCGGCCGUAACUAUAACGGUCCUAAGGUAGCGAAAUUCCUUGUCGGGUAAGUUCCGACCUGCACGAAUGGCGUAAUGAUGGCCAGGCUGUCUCCACCCGAGACUCAGUGAAAUUGAACUCGCUGUGAAGAUGCAGUGUACCCGCGGCAAGACGGAAAGACCCCGUGAACCUUUACUAUAGCUUGACACUGAACAUUGAGCCUUGAUGUGUAGGAUAGGUGGGAGGCUUUGAAGUGUGGACGCCAGUCUGCAUGGAGCCGACCUUGAAAUACCACCCUUUAAUGUUUGAUGUUCUAACGUUGACCCGUAAUCCGGGUUGCGGACAGUGUCUGGUGGGUAGUUUGACUGGGGCGGUCUCCUCCUAAAGAGUAACGGAGGAGCACGAAGGUUGGCUAAUCCUGGUCGGACAUCAGGAGGUUAGUGCAAUGGCAUAAGCCAGCUUGACUGCGAGCGUGACGGCGCGAGCAGGUGCGAAAGCAGGUCAUAGUGAUCCGGUGGUUCUGAAUGGAAGGGCCAUCGCUCAACGGAUAAAAGGUACUCCGGGGAUAACAGGCUGAUACCGCCCAAGAGUUCAUAUCGACGGCGGUGUUUGGCACCUCGAUGUCGGCUCAUCACAUCCUGGGGCUGAAGUAGGUCCCAAGGGUAUGGCUGUUCGCCAUUUAAAGUGGUACGCGAGCUGGGUUUAGAACGUCGUGAGACAGUUCGGUCCCUAUCUGCCGUGGGCGCUGGAGAACUGAGGGGGGCUGCUCCUAGUACGAGAGGACCGGAGUGGACGCAUCACUGGUGUUCGGGUUGUCAUGCCAAUGGCACUGCCCGGUAGCUAAAUGCGGAAGAGAUAAGUGCUGAAAGCAUCUAAGCACGAAACUUGCCCCGAGAUGAGUUCUCCCUGACCCUUUAAGGGUCCUGAAGGAACGUUGAAGACGACGACGUUGAUAGGCCGGGUGUGUAAGCGCAGCGAUGCGUUGAGCUAACCGGUACUAAUGAACCGUGAGGCUUAACCUUACAACGCCGAAGCUGUU
This 2932-nucleotide ribosomal RNA is filed under the name Escherichia coli. RNAcentral's name for it is "bacterial LSU rRNA". It matches the Rfam family "Bacterial large subunit ribosomal RNA". Lineage: Bacteria; Pseudomonadati; Pseudomonadota; Gammaproteobacteria; Enterobacterales; Enterobacteriaceae. The record is from RNAcentral.